GUGUUGGUGAUUCAGUAGCAAAAUUUUCGCCUUCCGUGCUGGAGACCCGGGUUCAAUUCCUGGCCAGUGCA
This 71-nucleotide transfer RNA is filed under the name Loxodonta africana (African savanna elephant). It matches the Rfam family "tRNA". Rfam says of the family: Transfer RNA (tRNA) molecules are approximately 80 nucleotides in length. Their secondary structure includes four short double-helical elements and three loops (D, anti-codon, and T loops). Further hydrogen bonds mediate the characteristic L-shaped molecular structure. tRNAs have two regions of fundamental functional importance: the anti-codon, which is responsible for specific mRNA codon recognition, and the 3' end, to which the tRNAs corresponding amino acid is attached (by aminoacyl-tRNA synthetases). tRNAs cope with the degeneracy of the genetic code in two manners: having more than one tRNA (with a specific anti-codon) for a particular amino acid; and 'wobble' base-pairing, i.e. permitting non-standard base-pairing at the 3rd anti-codon position. Lineage: Eukaryota; Metazoa; Chordata; Mammalia; Proboscidea; Elephantidae. The record is from Rfam by way of RNAcentral.